RNAcentral lists this ribosomal RNA (434 nucleotides) under uncultured archaeon. RNAcentral describes it as "bacterial SSU rRNA". It matches the Rfam family "Archaeal small subunit ribosomal RNA", at positions 19 to 458 of the family's 1478-position model. The record is from RNAcentral.
GGACCUGACUGCUAUCGGAUUGAUACUAAGCCAUGCGAGUCUUUGUAGUAAUACAAGGCAUACGGCUCAGUAACGCGUAGUCAACCUACCCUAUGGACAAGAAUAAUCUCGGGAAACUGAGCAUAAUUCUUGAUAGAUCAUAAUGCCUGGAAUGGUUUAUGGUUAAAAUGAUUCGUCGCCAUAGGAUGGGACUGCGGCCUAUCAGCUUGUUGGUGAGGUAAUGGCCCACCAAGGCGAUUACAGGUACGGGCUCUGAGAGGAGAAGCCCGGAGAUGGGUACUGAGACAAGGACCCAGGCCCUAUGGGGCGCAGCAGGCGAGAAAACUUUGCAAUGUGCGAAAGCACGACAAGGUUAAUCCGAGUGGUUUCUGCUAAAGAAACCUUUUGUCAGUCCUAGAAACACUGAUGAAUAAGGGGUGGGCAAGUUCUGGUGU